RNAcentral lists this ribosomal RNA (519 nucleotides) under uncultured bacterium. Its description in RNAcentral is "bacterial SSU rRNA". It matches the Rfam family "Bacterial small subunit ribosomal RNA", at positions 372 to 881 of the family's 1533-position model. The record is from RNAcentral.
UGGACGAAAGUCUGACGGAGCAACGCCGCGUGAGUGAAGAAGGUUUUCGGAUCGUAAAACUCUGUUUUCAGGGACGAAUGUGCGAUAUGUGAAUAAUGUGUUGUAAUGACGGUACCUGACAAGAAAGCCACGGCUAACUACGUGCCAGCAGCCGCGGUAAUACGUAGGUGGCAAGCGUUGUCCGGAAUUAUUGGGCGUAAAGCGCGCGCAGGUGGGAUAAUAAGUCUGAUGUUAAAGUUCGGGGCUCAACCCCGUGAAGCAUUUGGAUACUGUUAUUCUUGAGUGCAGGAGGGGAAAGUGGAAUUCCUAGUGUAGCGGUGAAAUGCGUAGAUAUUAGGAGGAACACCAGUGGCGAAGGCGACUUUCUGGACUGUGUCUGACACUGAGGCGCGAAAGCCAGGGUAGUGAACGGGAUUAGAUACCCCGGUAAUCCUGGCCGUAAACGAUGGGUACUAGGUGUUGGGGGUAUCGACCCCUCCAGUGCCGGAGUUAACGCAAUAAGUACCCCGCCUGGGGAGU